Molecule: ribosomal RNA, 497 nt
Filed under: uncultured bacterium
Lineage: Bacteria
Description: partial 16S ribosomal RNA
Rfam family: Bacterial small subunit ribosomal RNA
Source: RNAcentral
GAUGAACGCUGGCGGCGUGCCUAAUACAUGCAAGUCGAGCGAACAGAUGAGGAGCUUGCUCCUCUGACGUUAGCGGCGGACGGGUGAGUAACACGUGGAUAACCUACCUAUAAGACUGGGAUAACUUCGGGAAACCGGAGCUAAUACCGGAUAAUAUAUUGAACCGCAUGGUUCAAUAGUGAAAGACGGUUUUGCUGUCACUUAUAGAUGGAUCCGCGCCGCAUUAGCUAGUUGGUAAGGUAACGGCUUACCAAGGCAACGAUGCGUAGCCGACCUGAGAGGGUGAUCGGCCACACUGGAACUGAGACACGGUCCAGACUCCUACGGGAGGCAGCAGUAGGGAAUCUUCCGCAAUGGGCGAAAGCCUGACGGAGCAACGCCGAGUGAGUGAUGAAGGUCUUCGGAUCGUAAAACUCUGUUAUUAGGGAAGAACAAAUGUGUAAGUAACUAUGCACGUCUUGACGGUACCUAAUCAGAAAGCCACGGCUAACUACGUG